Molecule: long non-coding RNA, 11193 nt
Filed under: Populus tremula
Lineage: Eukaryota; Viridiplantae; Streptophyta; Magnoliopsida; Malpighiales; Salicaceae
Description: long non-coding RNA (PTRE_LNC003209)
Source: RNAcentral
AUCCACUGUUAGACAUUCAUUUUUUGUCAUGUAUUGGGCAAAAUCAUGCACUAUAUCAUGCAUCUUGAAUUUCAUUCCCUCAUCGUAAUCCGUCUCAAAAUCUUGGAAGAAAGAGCGCGCUGCUAAGACUUGAAAGUACUGCUCUCCUACAAGCUCCAUAUCUCCACCUGAAGUCUCCUUGAGGUAACCUUGAGCCAUCCACAUCUUCACCAAUUCAUAUUUUCCCAUCUCGUAGUCUUUUGGAAACAUGGCACAAUACAAGAAACAUCGUCUUACCACAGAAGGUAAAUCAUAGUAACUCAAAAGCAAAGGUAUAAAUAUUUGUCUUUCAACCUGAUCUCUAUCAACCUCAUCUAGCCUCCACAAUUCGCUAGAUAAAACACGCUCCCACUCUUCUCUUGUUAUUUUAGACUGCAUUAGACCUCCUAAUACCUUGGCAGCUAGAGGCAAGCCCUUGCACUUGUUUGCAAUUUUAUCGCCGAUAUCUGUCAAUCUUUCGCGCUCAUCUUUGCUUCUUUCCUGGAAUGCCACAUGAUUGAAUAUUGACCUGCAUAUCUUAUCAGACAAUUUCUCAAUGUUGAUCCGGUGGUCAGUUCCCAUCAUCGUUGCCACAGCGUCCUUACGAGUGGUCACUAGAAUUCUGCUUCCAGGUGCACCGCCUUUGAGAGAUAGUUUCAGUGGUUCCCACUGUCCAUGAUUUUCUGUCCAGACAUCAUCUAGGACAAGAAGGAACCUCUUUCCCUUAAUGGAUUCAGAAACCCUUUGCAUAAGGGAUUGCAAUUCAACCAAAUCGGGUGCCCUCCCUUCAAGCUGCUCAAGGAUACCUUUGGCUAUUCUAACCUCAUCAAAUGGUUCUGAAACACACACCCAUAUCUUUUUCUCAAAAUGAGCCGUAACCUCAGCAUCAUUAAAAGCUAGUUGUGAAAAGAAUGAUAUCUUUUGUAUUAUGUUACAGAGUAAACAAAGGUUACAAUUUAUACUAAUGGCUUGAUACAAAGAGCCUACAUUAAAGCCUACGAUCAGACCUAAUUAUCACAGAAUAAGGAAACAAAUAAGUGAAGAUUCAAUUACAGUAUUUGACAGACUUGAUUUCCUAUUCUGUGAUUGAUUUCCUAUGCUGUGCUUGGUUUCCUUUAACACUCCUCCUCAAGUUGGAGUGUAUGUUAAUUACACCCAACUUGCUAAGUAAGGUCUCAAACUGUGUGGAGCUUAAUGGUUUAGUAAACAAGUCAGCCGGUUGGUUUGUAGUCCGUAUGUAGGUUGUUUGAAUCAUUCCUGCUUGAAUUUUCUCACGUAUCAAAUGACAGUCUAUUUCUAUGUGCUUGGUUCGCUCAUGAAAGACUGGAUUCGAUGCUAUGUGCAUUGCUGCUUGGUUAUCACAAAAUUAAGGUUACCGGUUGUGUGUGAUUUAUCUGCAAGUCCUUCAAAAUAUUUUUCAGCCAUGUAAUUUCGCAGCAUGUAGUAGCCAUGGAGCGAUAUUCUGCCUCUGCACUUGAACGUGAUAUUGUUGUCUGUUUCUUACUCCUCCAUGAAACUGGUGCUUCUCCAAGUAAAAUGCAGUAACCAGUAACUGAUCUUCUUGUGUCCUUACAACGAGCCCAAUCAGCAUCAUAAAAUGCUCGUAACUGAAGUGAACCUGUGGACGGCAAAAAGAUGCCUUGCCCAGGUGUUUGUUUGAUAUAUUUGAGCACUUUAUAAGCUGCAUCCAGGUGUGGUUGGCGGGGCUUAUCCAUGAACUGACUAAGGAUGUGCACAGCAUAAGUCAAGUCUGGUCUAGUUAUUGUAAGAUAGAGUAACCUGCCAACUAACCUCCUGUAUGUUGAUCCAUCUUCCAAAAGCUUUCCAUCGGAUUGUGUUAGAGACACAUUUUGCUCCAAAGGAAACCGAGAUGGCUUGACACCCAAAAACCCUGCAUCAUCCAAAAUCUCGAGUGCAUAUUUUCUCUGUGACAAACUAAUGCCAUGUCGUGAUUUGGCAACCUCGAUGCCAAGGAAGUAUUUAAGUUGCCCCAAGUCCUUAAGUUUGAAUUGUUUGGACAAGAAGAGUUUGGUGUUCUCUAUGUCCUGCAAAUUAUUCCCAGCUAAUAUCACAUCAUCAACAUAUAUCAGUAAUGCUAGAAAGUUACCAUGCUGGCUUCGGACGAACAAGGAAUAAUCAGAUAGGGACUGAUGGAAUCCUGCAGCCUUGAGUGCACCGGACAGUUUGAUAAACCACUGUCUAGAGGCUUGUUUUAAGCCAUACAGGGAUUUAUGAAGUUUGCAAACGCGUGUCUCCCCCUUUCAUCCGAAGCCAGGAGGCAAAGUCAUGUAGACGUCCUCAUCCAAGUCACCAUGCAAGAAUGCAUUGUUGACAUCAAGCUGAUGUAAAUGCCAACCACGCAAAGCUGCCACACUAAGUAAGAGGCGGACAUUGACCAUCUUGGCUACGGGAGCAAAGGUUUCCUGAUAAUCAACACCUGCAACUUGGCUGUAGCCCUUGGCCACCAGUCGUGCCUUAUAGCGUUCCACUGUCCCAUCAGCUUUCAACUUGAUUUUGUAUACCCAUUUGCAGCCGAUCGGCCGUUUGUGGGAUGGUAAAGGUACCAAACUCCAAGUCUCAGUGGCCUGUAAAGCAGAUAUCUCAUGGUGCAUGGCCUCACGCCACUGAGGAUGUUGAACAGCCUGUGAAAAACUGGUAGGUUCUUUGAGGAGAGUGAGUUGAGCAGUAUAAGCUUUGUGAUGAGGAGAAAGGUGAGUGUAAGAUAAAUAGGCAGAGAGGGGAUAAGCAGUACCUGAAGUGUGAACCAUGUUCGUGGAUGAUGUCGGGUCAGGCCUUGAAGGGAGAGUCAUGGCGAGAUGGAAAUCCUGCAAGUAAGAAGGAGUGGUGAUAGAACGACUGCCACGACGAAGAGUAGGAAUGGGCACAGGUGAGGAGGUGUUCAGUAUGGGAGAAAAAUCGGGUAGUGGACUAUCAGUAGGACUGGCUGAAUGUGGGGACUCUGUGAGAGGAGCUAGAGGAGUGGAUGAGGUGGUGGAUGGAUGGGUCUGGGAAUUGGGUGAGCUAGGAAAGGUAGGAUUGGGAAGCAGAGAAGGGGGUUCAAAGUGUAUGUCGAAAGGUAUGGAUGGAGUGGGAGUGGGCGUGGGAGGUGAUAAUGAUGGGAUAUUGGUAUGUGAUGCAGAUGUAAUAAAGGGAAAUGUAGAUUCAAAGAAGACGACAUCCCUAGAGACAAGUGUUCGUUGUGUAGCUAGAUCAAAAACUCUAUACCCCUUUUUCCCAUAAGGAUAGCCAAGAAAAAUACACUGAGAUGCUCGAGGAUCAAAUUUUGAGCGAUUUUGGGCAUGGGUGGAAACAAAAAAUAAGCAACCAAAUACUCGUAAGUGUGAGUAAUUGGGAACUUUGUUGAAGAGUUUUUCAUAUGGUGUUUUUCCAUGGAGAAUGGGGGUUGGUGUUCGAUUUAUGAGAUAAGCGGAAGCAAGAAUAGCGUCACCCCAAAAUUGGUGAGGAAGGUCGGCUUGAAGAAGUAAAGCACGUGCCAUAUUUAACAAAUGCCUAUGUUUGCGUUCGGCAACGCCAUUUUGUUGUGGAGUAUUAAUGCAACUGGUUUGAUGAAUAAUACCUUUGUGAGCGUAAAAGCUGUCAAGUUUGAAUUCAAGACCAUUAUCACUACGAAUCAUUUUGACUUUGGAAUCAAAUUGGUUUUCAGCCAUGUUGAUGAAAUUGACUAGAAGACCCCUAGUGUCAGAUUUGUGUUUCAUAAGAUAAAUCCAUGUGCAUCUAGUAUGAUCAUCAACGAUAGUAAGAAAAUAUUUGGCACCUGAAAUAGAAGGAAUUUUAUAACCACCCCAAAUGUCAACAUGGAUUAAAUCAAAUGAAGAUAUGGUAGUAAUGGAACUUGAAGAAAAUGGAAGUCUGGUUUGUUUUGCUAACGGACAAAUACAACACUUGUCGUUAGAGCAAGAAUUAACUUUAGGAAAUAAUGGAGAGACUUUGGUUGAGGGAUGCCCAAGACGUUGAUGCCAAAGGUUCGGGUUAGAAUUUUUGGCAUGGUUGCAGGUUCCUUUCUUGGCUUGGUCGAGAAAGUAGAGACCCUCCCGUUCAAUUCCCGUCCCAAUCAUCUUCCCCGAACGUAGGUCCUGAAUCACACAAAAUUGGCUUAGAAAAAUGGUGAUGCAAGAAGAAUCAAAUGCUAGUUUGCUAAUGGAAAUUAAAUUCAAUCGGAAAUAUAGGACACAUAAGACAUUAUCAAGGAUCAAAUCAGGAGAUAGAUGAACUCUGCCUAUGUGAGUUACUUGUGCUAUUGAUCCAUUCGGUAAUUCAACAGUGCGGCCAUUAACCGGUCUUGAGUAUGUGAGCAGAUUUUGGUCAUAAAUCAUAUGAUCUGUGCACCCACUAUCCAAAAUCCAUGUACUUCUGUUGCCAUUAGAGAAGAGUGAAAAAGCUUUACCUGAGAGCUCAUCAUGAGUUGGACAGUUACUAACAUGGUUGGCAGAGGAUGUUUUGGUUUUUAACAUGCUGAGUAUCUGUUUGCACUCGUCAGGUGUGAAAGGAAAAUUCAUCUCCUUCCUCUCAUUCGUAUGGGAUGCAACUUGAUUUCCCUUGGAAAUCGCCAUAUUAAAUUCAGCUUCAGUUACUGCUUUCUUCUUGCGACAAUACUCGGCUGUAUGUCCCUUCCAGCGGCAGAAAGUGCAUCUGAGAUGUGCACGACAAUCCUUGGUGUUGUGAUUUGUUCUAUUGCAUCUUGAGCAUCUCUGUUCAGUUUCAGUCUCAUGGCUUAAAUUCUUUACGGCAAAGGCAUCAGCCUCUGGUUGAGCAGGACUUUUCCCAGUUGUCACUUCUGAUUGUUUUUCAUGACGAAGAACCAGUGAGUAUGCCUUGUUGAUUGUUGGUAAUGGAUCCUGCAACAGAGUGUUGCUACGAACACCCACAUAUGAAUCACUAAGACCCAUGAGAAAUUUCAUGGUUUUCUGUGUGUCCAGGUAUGCAGCCACUUCCUUGACUGAUCCACAAGUGCAUGUUGGAAAGGUGCAUAGUGCAUCACGCUCAUCCCAUAAACCUUUCAGUUUUGUGAAGUAGGAUCCCACAGACAUGCUGCCCUGCACACAGUUGUGAAUUUCAUUCUCAAUGUUAAAUAACUGAACCACAUUCACAUGUGAGAAUCUUUCCUUUAAAUCAAGCCACAUUUGUCUGGCAUCCUUGCAGUUGAUGACGCUAGCUGCAAUAUCUUUGGACAUAGAUCCCAGCAGCCAAGUUUUAACCAAACUGUUGCACCGAUUCCAUUGUUGAUGCUCAUCUGGUUUCUUCUCAUCAGGCUCCUUCAUUGAGCCAUCUAUAAAUCCAAUCUUGUUUUUAACUGUCAGAGCCAUAGUCAUGGAUUGGCUCCAUGUGCUGUAGUUGUCUUCAACCAAAGGUUGUGGCACAAGAACAGCGCCAGGUUGAUCUGAAUGGUGAAGGUAAAGCUGGUGAUUGGGAUGAUCCCAUCUUGCUCCUGAAGACAUGCUUCCUUGGUUUUCGUUUCCCAUGGAAGUUGGCUAAAGGGUUUAUGUUUUAUUUUGAUACCUAGAUUAAUUGCUCUGAUACCAUGAAAAGAAUGAUAUCUUUUGUAUUAUGUUACAGAGUAAACAAAGGUUACAAUUUAUACUAAUGGCUUGAUACAAAGAGCCUACAUUAAAGCCUACGAUCAGACCUAAUUAUCACAGAAUAAGGAAACAAAUAAGUGAAGAUUCAAUUACAGUAUUUGACAGACUUGAUUUCCUAUUCUGUGAUUGAUUUCCUAUGCUGUGCUUGGUUUCCUUUAACAAGUUGGGCGAGAGUUGUUUUUCCAAUUCCGCCCAGCCCUACUACAGAGAUGACAUCCACGUCCCGUGCUUCUUGACUACUUUCAGCCAGCAACUUGCUUACAACAUUUCUCUUUUCACCAUCUCGACCAAUCACACUUGAUUCAUCAACAAAGGAGGUAGUUGUUAGCCGCUGGAGUUCAUCAGUGGCUUUGUACAGAUCAAAGCCAUACUUAGCUCUCUCUUUGGCAAUGUCAUCCACUUUUUCACUAACUUCUUUGAUCUUCCGGGCAAUGUCGCGACGUCGAACCACUUGAUUGAAACAAAAGCAAGGAGAUCCCAGGAAGGAACACCGUAUCUUCUGUCGGCUGUGAGUAUUUUCAGCUUCCUCCAUUUUCCAUCGAAGAAUUGCAGUGCUCCAUUCAUCUAGCACGUCAUCCAUAUCAUAACAUGCAUCUUUGAGCUUGUCUAGCCAAUCUCUUACAGCCUUAUCCCUCACUUGUUUUCUAUCUGCAUCUUCAAGGACAGAUUGGAUAUCAAGGAGAUUGCUUUUCAGCUUGUCACAUUGUUUCUUCACAUCCACUACUAGGUUCACCUCUUCUUGUACCUAUUAGUGUACAGAUGAAAAGAAACGUUAAGCAUAGGAAACAUUUCUAUGAUUUCAAUACAAAUUCUUAAUUUUUAGCAAUUAAUAGAUUAAAUCAUUUUUAUUAAACUUUUUCACAGUAGCAAUUAAUAUAUUUAUAUUGUUAAUUAUAUUCAAAUUAUAUAUAAUAACUCUCUAAAAUAAAAUGACUCGUAAAUAAUGUAAUGCUAAGCCACUAUUAUUGCACUAAAAUUUACUAGAUGCGUGAAUUAAAAUAUAUUUUAUUUGAAUAAAGGAUUUCUUUAGAUAAAAAGAUAGAAUUCAUAGAUAUUAUAAUUGUGGAGCGCAAUAUAUACAUUGCAAUUUCACAAUAUUUUUAGGUGACUUUUAAUAAUUAUCAUAGUCUAUUUUUUAAAAUAUUCUGUGAGGUUGAUCAAAAUAAAAAAGAAAUAUUAAUUAGAAUUUCUAUAAUCAUGUUUGUAAUCGAAUAUUUGACUAUAUUUAUUUUAAUCAUUUUAUCAUACUAAUUUUAUUUCAAAUAUAGUUAUUUAUGCAUUCAAAUAUGAUAAGGAAUUAUUAAAAAAGGAAUUUACUACUAUUUUACUAUAUUGAUUUGUUCUAACCAGCCAUCACAAUAACCAUAUUUUGUAUAGCACAAAAGAUAUAAAUAAAAAGAAAGAGAAUCGUAAGAACCCGCUAUCUUGUAAAAAUAAUAUACAUACAUACAUACAUACAUAUAUAUAUAUAUAUAUAUAUAUAUAUAUAUAUAUAUUAACUAAUUUAUUUGAUCACAUGCAAUGUGAUAAUAUAUAAAUCAAGCUACUGAUUUAGCUUCUGACAAAUUAACAGAUAUUCUAUAAGAUAAUGAAAUCAAUGUAUAAUGAACUAUAAAUGUUAGGUUAAUUGCAAAAUUGUAGAAAAGUAAUUAAGUACCUGUUGAUUAUAAAAAAAAGAAAAAAAAAAAAGAAACAAACAAAAAAGAGUACCUGUCGAGCAACGAUCGUGGUUAACUGCUCCAAAAUUGGGGAUACAAGUGCGUCAGCCAUUGUUGUUCUUACUACUGAAUGUGUCAAGAAAAAGGAGAGAAAGUAAUGGGGCGUUGUUGACUGAUGAAAUGAGAAGUUGAUGAAGAUAGGAAGGAUAGUGAUCUACUCUGUGGAGUGCCAGAGAAAAUUAAUUUGAGGUUAUUCUCCAUGAAGUUUAGGCAAUAUAUACUGCAAAUUAAGAUCAUUUGCUUAAGACUGGGGUUAGAGUAUGAUUCUGAACUUCAGUAUAAAGCAACUAAUUUCCUUCAAGGUUGAUGCAAGCAAAGAAUGUUACUGAAACAAUGAGAAAAUAUGUGUAACAAGGAAAAGGAAAAGGCAAAGGCAAAGGCAAGUCUAGAAUUAGCCAUUGCUUCACUUUGGGUUCAAGUAUAAUGCAUCAGUCAUUUUUUUAUUUGCAUGGUUAUGGUUAUAAGAUCACGGUAAUUCUGUAAAAAAUAAAUUAAAAUAAAUUAUUUUAGAAAUAAGUUUCUUGUUGUAAUUAAAUUGCAAAAAAUAGUUAGGAUAAAAUUUAAGAUAAAUCCUAGGGAACACAUUCAAAAUGCACUGUGUACUGGAUUCUCAAUGUUCAUUUUACAGUUUGACAAGAGAAUCUUUCCUUCACUUUCACUUGCACGAUCUUUUUUUUAUCUUCUUUUUUUUUCAAAACUUACAAUCUUUUUUUUUCCCAGAUCUUUUUUCACUGUGUACCCAUUAUUUGUUUGGUUUACGAUGCUUUUUUUUUAAUACCUUAUAAGUGCCAAAAUUACCAACACCAUCAAUAGCAUAAUUUUUUUGCCUUAAUUUUAACUGCAAAACAGCUACCUUACCGCCCCAGCAAACGAGAACGAAAAAGCUCACCAAGAUGCUCUCUUUGAAAAGAUUCUCAAUGAGUCACUGACAUUUACUCUCAUUGUUUAAAAAAGUUAGGGUAAAGUUGAAAGAUAAAAUUAAAAAAAAAAUUAUUGAUUAAAAAAACAUUAUUAUAAUGAAUAGUUCUUUUAUGAUGAGGGGUAUUGUAAAAUCCUCUCCUCUUUUGGUGUCUACUAGUUAUGUGAAUUGUGCUUCACUUCAGGUCAAGUAUUUUUAAUUUUUUAUAAAAAAGGUUGUAUAUGCAGAUUUUUUCAACGUAUUUUUGUACUUUAAAAAAUUUAAGUGUAUAUCAAAAAAUUUAUGCACACAUUUAAUCAAAUAAAUUGAGAAUUAUAUAUGUUAAUAAACAAAUAAAUAAUCAUUAACGACACCUAAAAAUAAAACUUAAAAAAUUGAGAGACAAAUAUAGAUCAAUAUAUUUAAUUUCGCAAAAUAAGAUAUUUACCCGAUCAUGUUUGCUAAAUUUUUUAUUAAAAAAAUUUCUAAUUUAAUCAAAUGAUAAUAAAAUAGAUAAACAUAUUAAAUUGAUUGAAUAAAAUAAAAAGAAAAUAUGAAUAAUAUGCAAGGCUACACAUAUUAGAAAUAUCAUAUAAAAUAAAUAUUUUUUAUUUUCAAAAAUAUAGUUCACCUAUGCAAAAGAUAAAAAAAUUAUAGAUAGAUUAGAAAAAACCUCUUUAAAAAUUAAACAUAUAAUCAAAAAAAUCACCAUUAUUUAGAAGAGGUUAUCUAAACAAAAUAAAAAAGAAAGAAAGGGUGGAUAGUGAUCUACCGUGGAGCGCAAGAGAAAAUUAAUUUGAGGUUAUUAUCAAUGAAGUUUAGGCAAUGGCGCAAAUUAAGGUCAAAUUGGAUGUUUUGCACUUUGGAUAAUGAUAUUAAUUUUUGGUGUUUGGUGAUAGAUUUCUUGUUGUGAAAUAGUUAUGGUAAAAUUUAAGAUAAAUCCUAGUGAACACGUCUUGUUGUGAAAUAGUUAUGAUAGACUCUCAAUGUUCAUUUUAGAGUUCCACAAGAGAAUCUUUCCGUCACUUUCACUUACUGCAAAACAGAGCUAUCAAUUUAAAAAUAUAUAAUUGCUCAAAUCAAGAAAUCAAUCUCAAUAAAUAAUAAUGUUUUAUGGCAACAACAGAUAAUAAAUAUUAUAUAAAUUACUAAGAAGUACUAUCAAUUUAAUAUUAAUAAUUUGAAUAUUUAUACUACUCCUCUGCAGCAUAUGAGAUAGUAAGUGAUAGAAUGGUCCCACUCCCCAUGUUAUGGUUUAUAUUUUGCUUUAAACAGAGUAUAGUUGUACUAAAAAUACACCCCUUUCCCGAAAGGAAGGGGAAGAACACAAUCAAGGGAUUUCUUGUUGUUUGACUUCUCAUGUUUCUCUCCCACCACGGGCAACUGUUUAUUUUCGCCAAGGUGAAUUGAGGCUUCAAGUAGAAGAAAUUAUUUACUGGUUAGAAACUUGGUCGAUUUCACUGUUGUCUUUGAGACAAAUGAAACUGAGGUUUUUGGUUUGCAAUUUGGGCAGAUAAGGAUAAUCCUUAUUGUUUGGUGUUUGAGAAUUUAAUUGGUGCUAAAUUUCUUGUUGUAAAUUGCAGAAAAUAGUCAGGGUAAAAAUUUAAGAUGAAUGCUAGGGAACACAUCUUCCCAAAAUGCACUGGGUUCUGGAUUCUCAAUGAAUGUUCAUCUUACAGUUUGACAAGAGAAUCUUUCCUUCGCUUGCACUAUCUUUUUGUUUGUUUGCCCGAUGCAUGAUUUUUUUACCAAAUAAGGAUAAUCCUCAUUUUUCCUUGAUAAAUUCUAACUACAAAACAGCUACUUCACCAACAAGAUGGAAAAGGCUCGCCAAGAUGUUCUCUUUGAAAAGAUUCUCAGUGAGUCGUUGACAUCUCAUUUUUGGAAUUUCUCCAAUAGCUUGAUGUCUACUCUCACUAUAUUGAGUAGGAUGACUGUAUAGAAUUACUCUGAUUUAUCAACACAUAUCAAAUUCUUGCUGCUGCUGAGGAAGAUAUCUGCACUUAGCCAUCAUAGAGGGUAGCGAAUUUUGUGUUGAUGGAAAUUACACUGACUCAUUGUGUACCAUCUAGAAUUCAAUUUUAAAAAAUAUUGCAAGAAAUGAUGUUUUUUCCUAAAUACAUCAUUCGGGUGUGGAUAGCUUGAUUAAAAUGCGACUCACUAAAAAGUCUUGGUCUUAAUAUGCAAAGAUGAUCCUAGUAUACCAUAUUUCUUUUAAAAUAAAACCCACAGAUCUAGUCCACGCAAAGGUACUGGAAUAUGGAUUUGUAAAAAAUAAAAAUGAAAAUUUAUACGAAAUUGAAUUGUGCUAAAAAAACCCACAGAUCUAGUCCAUGAUCUACGGCUCCUCCAGAGUUCCGUAGUGGUGUCUUUCUCAACUAUUCUUUAAAUAAAAUGUUUGGGAUGUGAGAAAUCUUGUGCCUAUCUUCACCCCUCCCCUCCUUCCCGUAACGUUUCCUUAGAGAAUUUAUGUAGAGGCGCUGUCAAAACAUAGGCCGGUAGUGCUCUCAACAAUGGGCAUUUGAGAAUUCUAAACUCAACAAGUUGUGGCAUGAUGAAUAUUGAAGUCAUGGUGGAAUCUUCUUCUCCCACUCUCCUUUCAAUCCCAUCCCACUCCUCUAGUUCUUUGAGAUGCCAUAUGCUAAGUUUUUUCAAUUUGGGGAAAGCAGGGACUCUUGCAAUUUCUCCUUCAUUAAUAUUGGUAUUGCCAACAUUUUCUUUGCCUAAAAAUCCACCAUCCAACCUUCUCAGCUUCAUGCUCAUCCAUCUGAAAAUCUUGGAAGAAACAACGUGCUACUAAGACUUGAAAAUACUCCUCUCCAACAAGCUCCAUACCUCUACUUGGAGUCUCCUUAAGAUAACCUUGAGCCAUCCACAUCUUCACCAACUGGUCUUUUUCCAUCUCGUAGUCUUUUGGAAACACCGUCUUGCCACAGAAGGUAAAUCGUAGUAACUCAAAAGC